GAUGAACGCUGGCGGCGUGCUUAACACAUGCAAGUCGAACGGAAAGGCCCAAGCUUGCUUGGGUACUCGAGUGGCGAACGGGUGAGUAACACGUGGGUGAUCUGCCCUGCACUUCGGGAUAAGCCUGGGAAACUGGGUCUAAUACCGGAUAGGACGAUGGUUUGGAUGCCAUUGUGGAAAGUUUUUUCGGUGUGGGAUGAGCUCGCGGCCUAUCAGCUUGUUGGUGGGGUAAUGGCCUACCAAGGCGUCGACGGGUAGCCGGCCUGAGAGGGUGUACGGCCACAUUGAGCCGGAGAUACGGCCCAGACUCCUACGGGAGGCAGCAGUGGGGAAUAUUGCACAAUGGGAGAGAGCCUGAUGCAGCGACGCCGCGUGGGGGAUGACGGCCUUCGGGUUGUAAACCCCUUUCGCUAGGGACGAAGCGUUUUUGUGACGGUACCUGGAGAAGAAGCACCGGCUAACUACGUG
Molecule: ribosomal RNA, 468 nt
Filed under: uncultured bacterium
Lineage: Bacteria
Description: partial 16S ribosomal RNA
Rfam family: Bacterial small subunit ribosomal RNA
Source: RNAcentral